Molecule: long non-coding RNA, 613 nt
Filed under: Homo sapiens (human)
Lineage: Eukaryota; Metazoa; Chordata; Mammalia; Primates; Hominidae
Description: HSALNT0155869
Source: RNAcentral
AGAAUUUCCUAACAUUGCUUAUUUUAAUUGGGAUUUGGAUCCUGCCAGCUCGUCCCUGCAACCCCCUACUCCGGUCCCCUCAAACCUGUCCGUGGCUGGCAGCCCUGUGAUACCUCGCCACAUUCUGCAACAGAAUCCGAGAUAGAGGUAGAAGUGGGGGAGUACGUCGUGGCUGUCAGGGCAGCUUUCUGUAAAAUGCUGCCUGGAGGAGCAUGUGAUUCCAGACCCUCCUCUCUGCAACGAAAGUGAGGUUGACACCUGCAGGCCUGGGGCCUCCUGGCCCACUGAGCAGAACACACAGAAGCUGGGCCCACCCCUGCCCUCCCCACAAAGGGUCACGGGAGCCACCGCCUGACUUUGAAGCCCACUGACUUGCGGCUGACAAGAGAAAAGGAUGUGCCCCUGUGAUCAUGUGAAAGCAUCAGCCAGGGGUCCAAGAACUUCCCUCUGGAGCCUCACACUCCCAGCGUGGCACCCAGCAGGGAACAGAUUCUCUCCAAACCUUUGUGAAUGAAUGAAGGAUGACGUCACUAGAAUCCAUCCCUGUUUUAUUUUUUAUUUUUAUUUUUUGAGACAGAGUCUCGCUCUGUUGUUGCCCAGGCUGGAGUGCGGU